GGGCGGUCUAACAUUCAGUGCCAUACCUGCAAGCAAUGGGGCCACAUGGCGAGAGAGUGUACCCAGAACCAGAGCCGUCAAGCAUGGAGCCAAGUACGACCGAACCCAGCACCACGAGCAGCCGCGCACCACUACCAGGCAGAGCCAGCACCCCAGGAGCUAAUGUUUAAUCACACCGAAGAGCCCCUGGGAAUACUGCAUGACGUGAUUUCUGUACAAGCCACAGACAAUAGGCACCCUCAUCGCCAGAUGGUAACCUUGGAAGGGAAAGAAGUACAAGGGCUCCGAGAUUCGGGGGCCACUCUGACUCUAGUAGCACCUCAUCUGGUUCCAGGCUCGGCGCACAAAGGCGGAUCCGUGGCAGUUUGAGUAGCAGGGGAAGCGAUGUACCAAUUGCCAACAGCCAAAGUACACUUGAAUUGGGGUGUGGGGGAAGGGAUGGUGAAGGUGGGCAGAAUGACUUCAGCUUUUGUACCUCAAGCCCCGCUCCAAGAGGCGCACCCGGUCACCACAAGACAACAGGCUCGCACCAUGGCUUCAUCCACACACUCUGAGGCUCAGGUAAGAGAAAAUGUACCCCCUAUGAUCCGUGUUCCCUGGGAUACCCCGACUGAAUUUGGAGCAAAGGUUAAGGGAGACCCUACUGUGGUCUUGCAUUGGAGAAGCCUGGUUGCUUGCCUGCUGCCUUUGGACUAUGGCCCCCUUUUAAAAGACUUUAUUUUUGCCUGCAGAAAAGCUGUAUUCGUGCUUUUCUGCCUGGGGUUCAGUAGAUUUGUUUGAAUGUGUUAUACCCCAGAUAGGAAUCCCAUGGAGCCCAUUCGUAUGAAACUGACUGUAAAGACUUUGGCUCCA
Non-coding RNA from Pelobates cultripes (western spadefoot toad), 852 nucleotides. Lineage: Eukaryota; Metazoa; Chordata; Amphibia; Anura; Pelobatidae. The record is from the annotation of a GenBank genome assembly.